GACAGAGGGUGCAAACGUUGUUCGGAAUUACUGGGCGUAAAGCGCGUGUAGGCGGCCCUGCAAGUCGGAUGUGAAAUCCCACGGCUCAACCGUGAAGUGCAUUCGAAACUGCAGGGCUAGAGUCCUGGAGAGGAAGGUGGAAUGCUUGGUGUAGAGGUGAAAUUCGUAGAUAUCAAGCGGAACACCGGUGGCGAAGGCGGCCUUCUGGACAGUGACUGACGCUGAGACGGCGAAAGCGUGGGGAGCAAACAGGG
Molecule: ribosomal RNA, 254 nt
Filed under: uncultured bacterium
Lineage: Bacteria
Description: partial 16S ribosomal RNA
Rfam family: Bacterial small subunit ribosomal RNA
Source: RNAcentral